UCCGGUUGAUCCUGCCAGAUGUUACUGCUAUCGAGAUUCGACUAAGCCAUGCGAGUUGAAUGUUCUUCUGAACAUGGCGGACUGCUCANUAACGCGUGGACAACCUACCCUUGGGUCCGGCAUAAUCCUGGGAAACUGGGAAUAAUUCCGGAUAGGUCACCGAUGCUGGAAUGCGCGGAGGCCGAAAGCUCCAGCGCCCGAAGAUGGGUCUGCGGCCUAUCACGUUGUAUUGGGUGUAACGUACCUACUAUCCUACUACUGGUACCGGUUGUGAGAGCAAGAACCCGGAGAUGGAUUCUGACACACGAAUCCAGGCCCUACCGGGUGCAUCACGCGCGAAGACUUUACAAUGCGGGAAACCGUGAUAAGGGGAUCUCGAGUGCCAUCAUAUAAUGUUGGCUGUCCAUAUGCCAAAUAAGCAUUGUUACCAAGGGCCGGGCGAGACCGGUGCCGGCCGCCGCGGUAACACCGGCGGGCCCGAUGGUAACCGCUAUUAUUGGGUCUAAAGGGUCUGUAUCCGGUCAGGUGAGUCCAUUGGGAAAUCUGGCAGCUCACCUGUCAUGCUGCUGCGGGAUACUGUUUGGCUUGGGACCGGGACAUGUGAGAGGUACCUUGGGGGUAGGGGUGAAAUCUUGUGAUCCUCGAGGGACCACCAGUGGCGAAGGCGUCUCACCAGAACGGGUCCGACGGUAAGGGACGAAAGCUAGGGGCACGAACCGGAUUAGAUACCCGGGUAGUCCUAGCCGUAAACGAUGCUCGCUAGGUGUCAGUCACGGUGCGACCGUGAUUGGUGCCGUAGGGAAGCCGUGAAGCGAGCCACCUGGGAAGUAUGGCCGCAAGGCUGAAACUUAAAGGAAUUGGCGGGGGAGCACUACAACGGGCGGAGCCUGCGGUUUAAUUGGAUUCAACGCCGGAAAUCUCACCGGGGGCGACAGCGAUAUGAAGGUCAGGGUGAAGACUUUACCGGAUUAGGUGAGAGGUGGUGCAUGGCCGUCGUCAGUUCGUACUGUGAAGCAUCAUGUUAAGUCAGGCAACGAGCGAGACCCACAUCCACAGUUGCCAGCAUGUUCUCCGGAAUGAUGGGUACACUGUGGAGACCGCCGCUGCUAAAGCGGAGGAAGGAGUGGGCAACGGUAGGUCAGUAUGCCCCGAAUCUCCCGGGCUACACGCGGGCUACAAUGGUUGGUACAAUGGGCAUCUACCCCGAAAGGGGAAGGAAAUAUCUUAAAACCACUUGUAGUUGGGAUUGAGGGUUGCAGCUCGCCCUCAUGAAGCUGGAAUCGGUAGUAAUGGAGUUUCAACAGAACGCGGGGAAUACGUCCGUGCUCUUUGCACACACCUCCCGUCAAACCACCCGAGUAGGGUCUGGAUGAGGGUGUGUUUUAUUGACACAUUCGAAUCUGGGCUUUGCAAGGGGGGAU
This 1421-nucleotide ribosomal RNA is filed under the name uncultured Methanosaeta sp. RNAcentral's name for it is "bacterial SSU rRNA". It matches the Rfam family "Archaeal small subunit ribosomal RNA". The record is from RNAcentral. Lineage: Archaea; Methanobacteriati; Methanobacteriota; Methanomicrobia; Methanotrichales; Methanotrichaceae.